CAGUUUGUGAUUGGUCCCUGCAGAUUUGUAAUGGAAUCAAGAUUGAAAAAUGUACAGGUUCCCGGCCUGAGCUGCAGGGCUAAAUCAAAUCGCGGGCAGAUCGGGCUGGGUUCACCCAGUCUAAGCGUUUUAGGCAGU
Molecule: long non-coding RNA, 138 nt
Organism: Etheostoma cragini (Arkansas darter)
Lineage: Eukaryota; Metazoa; Chordata; Actinopteri; Perciformes; Percidae
Exons: 3
Source: RefSeq, a predicted model, not a curated record